This 1241-nucleotide ribosomal RNA is filed under the name metagenome. Its description in RNAcentral is "bacterial LSU rRNA". It matches the Rfam family "Bacterial large subunit ribosomal RNA", at positions 1564 to 2815 of the family's 2925-position model. The record is from RNAcentral.
UGAAUACGAGACGCUAAGGCGUCGAAGUAGUGUAUGUCAUACUUCCAAGAAAAGCUUGCACUGUCAUAGAUAAAAAACGCCUGUACCAUAACCGACACAGGUGGGUAGGUAGAGUAUACUAAGGGGCGCGAGAUAACUCUCUCUAAGGAACUCGGCAAAAUAACUCCGUAACUUCGGGAGAAGGAGUGCCUUAUUCUUAAGGUUGCAAUAACAAGAUCCAAGCAACUGUUUAUCAAAAACACAGGUCUCCGCUAAGUCGUAAGACGAUGUAUGGGGGCUGACGCCUGCCCAGUGCCAGAAGGUUAAAGAAGCUGGUUAGCGUUUGCGAAGCUAGUAACUGAAGCCCUGGUGAACGGCGGCCGUAACAAUAACGGUCCUAAGGUAGCGAAAUUCCUUGUCGGGUAAGUUCCGACCCGCACGAAAGGCGUAAUGAUUUGGAUACUGUCUCGGAGAGGGGCUCGGUGAAAUAGACUUGUCUGUGAAGAUGCGGACUACCUGCACCAGGACAGAAAGACCCUAUGAAGCUUUACUGUAACUUGAAAUUGAAAUUGGACUUUAUUCGCGCAGUAUAGGUGGGAGGCGUUGAUUAUAAUCUUGCGGGAUUAUUGGAGCCAUUAGUGAGAUACCACUCUUGUAAUGUUAGAUUUCUAACUUUGAAUCAUUAUCUGGUCAAAGAACAGUUUCAGGCGGGCAGUUUGACUGGGGCGGUCGCCUCCUAAACGGUAACGGAGGCGUACAAAGGUUUCCUCUGAACGGUUAGAAAUCGUAUCUAGAGUGUAAAGGCAUAAGGAAGCUUGACUGUGAGACCUACAAGUCGAGCAGGGACGAAAGUCGGUCUUAGUGAUCUGACGGUACUGAGUGGAAAGGCCGUCACUCAACGGAUAAAAGUUACUCUAGGAUAACAGGCUGAUCUCCCCCAAGAGUUCACAUCGACGGGGAGGUUUGGCACCUCGAUGUCGGCUCAUCGCAUCCUGGGGCGGUAGUACGUCCCAAGGGUUGGGCUGUUCGCCCAUGAAAGCGGUACGCGAGCUGGGUUCAGAACGUCGUGAGACAGUUCGGUCCAUAUCCGGUGUAGGCGUUAGAAUAUUGAGAGGAGCCUUCUUUAGUACGAGAGGACCGAGAAGGACAUACCUCUGGUGUACCAGUUAUCGUGCCAACGGUAAACGCUGGGUAGCUAUGUAUGGAGUGGAUAACCGCUGAAAGCAUCUAAGUGGGAAGCCCACCUCAAGAUAAGUAUUCUC